UGUGCCUUUCCUUUCCAGAGACUUAUGGAUGGUGCUGUCUCACCGGGAAACUCCAGCCUGUACCUCCGUGGGCCUUUCCAUAGAUUAAACCACACAGCAGUGGCACUUCUCAGCACGGAAUAUGUCGACCUGGAGGCCUCACAGGAAAGAGGUGCUGGGAUCUGUCAAACCCUGAUGCUGAUGCCACCAACUCCAACCCAGGAAAGUAAUCUUGGUUCUUCUCUCUGAGUCAGCAUGUUUGUUUGUCAAUUUUGGAUAUUCCUUAUCUGGAGAUACAAGCUUACAUUGUGGGUUGUAAAAUGUAAAAGAGAGUCUUUCACUCUAGCUUUCAAAAAUUUAUAGAUAAAUGAUGGCACUAAAAGUUAAAUAAUGGGAAUAUUUAUAAAAUAGAAAAGAAUGAUACACAGCUGCUUUACUUUCAUGAUUCAGUGGGCUACGUGCUAGCUGCCUUCCUUGUGAAUUUUUUCCUGUUUCUUAUAAAAUGCUCAAUACAAUUCUAAUGGUGAUGACUACUUACAGCAUCCUUCUUGUAGCAGCCUCCCUUGCUCUAUUGACCUCAGGAAUUGAUUGGUGUGGCUAACACAUCACCCUCAAAGAAGUAUGUGCAGUUUCAGAUCCUGCUUUCACAAAACCCUGUGCGCUUUAACAUCUUGGAUAUGUGAGCACCCAUGCAGAUUACCUGGUGACUCAAGGUGGGAGAUUAUUGAAUGGAAGUUCAGCAGUGGCCACACCACUGAAGAAGUUGACAACCCCUCUUCAAAGGACUGCAGCUGCCAAUAGUCCUUCAGGGAGGACCUCUCCUCUACCCAUGAUAAAAAGUUAAUGGGUCCAAACAUGAGCCUGAAAUGUAAGAUAGCUACAGGUGCAGUGAGUUCAUGUAUGAUAGUCACAAGCACAGUGAGUUAAUGUAAAAUAGUCAGAACCAGAGUGAGUUCGUGAAGCAUAGUUGUACCACAGUGAGUUCAUGUAAGAUAGCCACAGCCGUGGAGCAGCGUUUGUCAUAUGGAAAACACCGUUUUGUUGCACAUCUAUCCAUUCUCCAAAUGCAUGAGAAUGUCUAUUUCAUAUAUUUCAUGCCAUUGAAUGCUUCAUAUAAAAAUGAACUGUAACUAGCUUAAACUGCUUCCUUUCCUGUUGGCGAAUACCAAGGCUUUCAGUUAUUUUAUAUACCAAGUAUCAUGAAUUAGUUAAUUAACUUUUUGAGACAAGGUUCAUAACUCCAAUGUGGUUGUUUGAAAGAAAAUACCCCCCAAUAGGGAGUGUCACUAUUAGGAGAUGUGACCUGGUUCGAGUAGGUAUGGCCUUGUGGGGCUGAGCUUUGAGGUCUCCAAUGCUUAAGCUAUACAUAGUGUUACACUCCAUUUCCUCUUGCUUGUGGAUCAAGAUGUAGAACUCUCAACUUUUCUUCAGCAUCAUGUCUGUUUGCAUGUCUCCAUGUUCCGCCAUGAUGAUAAUGGACUAAAGCUCUGAAACUGUAAGCUACUAAGUAAAUUUUUCCUUUAUAAAUGUUGCCAUGGUCACAGAGUCUCUUCCUAACAGUAGAAACUGUAAGACACCCAGGAUGACUGAAAACCCUUGAUUCUUCUGCCUUAGCCUCAUGAGUGCUGAAGUUGGAGGACUAUACCAUCAUAUUGACAUGAAAAACACAUUUAACCCUCAUUUAUAUUUCACCAGCAUUAAUAACUGGCUCCACUCUCUUCUGUGUAAGUUAAAUGAGCUCUA
Cricetulus griseus (Chinese hamster) is the source of this 1722-nucleotide non-coding RNA. The record is from RefSeq and is a predicted model, not a curated record. Lineage: Eukaryota; Metazoa; Chordata; Mammalia; Rodentia; Cricetidae.